Long non-coding RNA from Beta vulgaris subsp. vulgaris (sugar beet), 333 nucleotides. RefSeq lists it as uncharacterized. The transcript has 2 exons. The record is from RefSeq and is a predicted model, not a curated record. Lineage: Eukaryota; Viridiplantae; Streptophyta; Magnoliopsida; Caryophyllales; Amaranthaceae.
AAUUUGGUUGUUUAGUGGAUGAUUUCUGAUUAUGGGUCAUGCUGUUAUAAUUUUGAGGGGGAUACAUGUAUGACGAUUCUUGGAAGCUAGUUAUGGCGAUACUUAAGGAGUAAGAAAGGGAAUAACGUUCGAGGUAUUAUAAAGAUAGCUCAGGAUCAGUUAUGUCAAGGAUGCUCCAGGAAGGCUGAGUUGAAGCGACUUUGUAUAUAUUUGGGAUUAUCUAGAAUACUCUGUAAUUAUGGGUAGUAUCUAUUGCUUAAUGAUGUUCAUUUGUUUGUUUAAGAGGCCAUUUUAGGCUGUUAUUUCUUAGUGGGCCAUAACCCACAGGCUUAA